Non-coding RNA from Tissierella creatinophila DSM 6911, 77 nucleotides. NCBI's taxonomy places the organism in Bacteria, Bacillati, Bacillota, Tissierellia, Tissierellales, Tissierellaceae. The record is from Rfam.
GAGAACUAAUACUCUGAGCAAUUAAAUGAGAAGGUAACGCUUUGAAGAAUUGCCAUUAAUACUACGGUAUGCAGUUG